GGGGGGUUGAAUACGAUACUCACUACAAUUUAAAAUUCUUUCGAAUCUUGCGGAUAAACAAAUUGCAGUUCUGUAAUGUGUUUCGUGUUCCGGAUAUUUAUUGGGUCGGUUUCUGAGGAUAUGAAAAUAUUAAACCAACACACAAUAUUUUCCAAGGUAUAUCUGUAUAUUGAUAAAUACCUCGAAGGGUGCUAUAAAUCCAAACCCGAAGGUUGGCUACAAUGGCUACUACUACGUACACUCACAAACCCUAGCUUCUAAAUAUAUAUAUAUAUAUUACAAAACUAAGCUAUGAUUUAUUUGUGUGUAGUAGUGUGCAAGGCACAAAGCCAUUCCACCAUAAAGGUGGUGGAGAGUGUGUAUUACAAAUUAUGAACUCACAUCUCAAGUAUUUAUAGGCUUCUCAUUAACUAACCCUAGUUAACAACUA
Molecule: long non-coding RNA, 430 nt
Filed under: Daucus carota (carrot)
Lineage: Eukaryota; Viridiplantae; Streptophyta; Magnoliopsida; Apiales; Apiaceae
Description: long non-coding RNA (DCAR_LNC002679)
Source: RNAcentral